UUUGCCUUCAGAAUAACUUAACGGCGAAAACAAACGCUGUUUUGUUCAGACAGAGGCGCAAAUCAAAUGUUAAUAAUCUGAAUACGUUUGAGGGUACGGAACACAUCAUCCCCUGUUCCUGACCUAGAUAUAUUCGGAUAUUCACAUUUUAUUAUUAUUAUUAUUAUUAUUAUUU
Glycine max (soybean) is the source of this 175-nucleotide non-coding RNA. The record is from Rfam. NCBI's taxonomy places the organism in Eukaryota, Viridiplantae, Streptophyta, Magnoliopsida, Fabales, Fabaceae.